GACGAACGCUGGCGGCGUGCUUAACACAUGCAAGUCGAACGGAAAGGCCCUGCUUGCUGGGUGCUCGAGUGGCGAACGGGUGAGUAACACGUGGGUGAUCUGCCCCUUACUUUGGGAUAAGCCGGGGAAACUGGGUCUAAUACUGGAUAGGACCAGGCUGUAGGUGGUGUGGUGGAAAGAUUAGUUUCGUUAAGGGAUGAGCUCGCGGCCUAUCAGCUUGUUGGUGGGGUAAUGGCCUACCAAGGGGUCGGGGGGUAGCCGGCCUGAGAGGGUGGACGGGCACAAGGGAACUGAGAGACGCACUGGACCUGUACGGGGGGCAGGAGUGCGGAGGGAGGGACAAGGGGCGAAUGUCUGAUAAAGGGCUGACGCGUGAGGCAAGAAGGCCGUCGGGUUGUUGACGUCCUUCGGGAGGGAAGCACCUGUAGAGGAUGACAACGCCCGUUAGGGACGGUAACUGAUAGAUGAGCAACGGCCAACUUCGUG
This 486-nucleotide ribosomal RNA is filed under the name uncultured bacterium. Its description in RNAcentral is "partial 16S ribosomal RNA". It matches the Rfam family "Bacterial small subunit ribosomal RNA", at positions 28 to 507 of the family's 1533-position model. The record is from RNAcentral.